UGACGGGGGCCCGCACAAGCGGUGGAGCAUGUGGUUUAAUUCGAAGCAACGCGAAGAACCUUACCUGGGCUUGACAUGUUCCUGACCGGUGUGGAAACACACCUUCCCUUCGGGGCAGGAUCACAGGUGGUGCAUGGCUGUCGUCAGCUCGUGUCGUGGGAUGUUGGGUUAAGUCCCGCAACGAGCGCAACCCUUGUCCUAUGUUGCCAGCGGGUAAUGCCGGGGACUCGUAGGAGACUGCCGGGGUCAACUCGGAGGAAGGUGGGGAUGACGUUUACCGACAGCU
RNAcentral lists this unclassified non-coding RNA (286 nucleotides) under uncultured bacterium. Its description in RNAcentral is "contains 16S-23S intergenic spacer region". It matches the Rfam family "Bacterial small subunit ribosomal RNA", at positions 911 to 1196 of the family's 1533-position model. The record is from RNAcentral.